RNAcentral lists this unclassified non-coding RNA (224 nucleotides) under Hevea brasiliensis (rubber tree). The record is from RNAcentral. Lineage: Eukaryota; Viridiplantae; Streptophyta; Magnoliopsida; Malpighiales; Euphorbiaceae.
CGGGUGCAAAUGAUACGUCAUAGGAGUGUUCCCAGAGCCAGUGAAGUUCCUGACUUGCUUAUUCAGAGUACAGAGGAGCAUAUUUUCAAUAAACAAAUGUUUCUCUAACAAAGGCCAGCCAACCUAAUUCUUCAGGCAUCGAAUCAAGUAAAAGAUUAUGGGUAUAGGGAUCAAUUCCAUAAACUUCUUGUUCUAUAACUUCAACUCCAAGCUGUUUUCUAGGU